Molecule: ribosomal RNA, 1481 nt
Filed under: marine metagenome
Description: bacterial LSU rRNA
Rfam family: Bacterial large subunit ribosomal RNA
Source: RNAcentral
UUCCCGGGCAACGUUUUUCGUCCCGGGGUUAGUCGGGACCUAACCCGAGGCCGAUAGGCGUAGGGGAUGGUAAGCCGGUCAAUAUUCCGGCACCUGCAAAGUGGAUGGGGACGCUUUUUGAAUUGCAACCAGGUUAUUGAAUUCUGAGGGGAAGCUUCGGCUGAACCGUAUUGCAUGAAGAAGAGCCAAGAAAAGCCACCACGACUAAAAGCAGCCCGUACCGUAAACCGACACAGGUGGGUGGGUAGAGUAUACCAAGGCGCAAGAGUGAAACCUGGUCAAGGAACUCGGCAAAAUAGCCCCGUAACUUCGGGAGAAGGGGUGCCCCACUUCGGUGGGGCCGCAGUGAAAUGGGUCAACCGACUGUUUAGCAAAAACACAGCAUUGUGCUAAGACGCAAGUCGAUGUAUACGAUGUGACACGUGACCAAUGCCAAAAGAUUACGAUGAGAUGUUAGCUCUUUAGAGCGAAGCUUCGAGUCCAAGUCCUGGUGAAUGUCGGCCGUAACUAUAACGGUCCUAAGGUAGCGAAAUUCCUUGUCGGGUAAGUUCCGACCUGCACGAAUCGUGCAACGAGUUGACCACUGUCUCGACCAGGAGCUCAGUGAAAUUGUAGUGCCGGUGAAGAUGCCGGCUACCCGCAGAAGGACGGAAAGACCCUAUAGACCUUAACUGUAAGCUGUUACUGGUUAUUUGAUUUUAAUGCUCAGCAUAAGUGGGAGACUUUGAAGGAUACGUUUAGGCGUAUCUGGAGUCGCCAGUGAGAUACCACCCUUUGACAUUGGAUAAUCUAACCCCGAGCCGUAAUCCGGCCGUGGGGACCGUGGCAGCCGGUCAGUUUUACUGGGGCGGUAUCCUCCUAAAGAGUAACGGAGGAGCGCGAAGUUUGGUUCAGCACGGUCGGUAACCGUGUGUCGAGUGUAAAGGCACAAACCAGACUAACUGUGAGACCCACAAGUCGAGCAGAUACGAAAGUAGGCCUUAGUGAUCCGGCGGUAGAAAGUGGAAUUGCCGUCGCUCAACGGAUAAAAGGUACCUUAGGGAUAACAGGCUGAUCGCGCCCAAGAGUUCAUAUCGACGGCGCGGUUUGGCACCUCGAUGUCGGCUCGUCGCAUCCUGGGGCUGGAGCAGGUCCCAAGGGUUGGGCUGUUCGCCCAUUAAAGCGGCACGCGAGCUGGGUUCAGAACGUCGCGAGACAGUUCGGUCCUCUAUCCUCUGUGGGCGUAGGAAAAUUGAGAGGUUCAAACCCUAGUACGAGAGGACCGGGUUUGACGCACCUCUGGUGCUCCGGUUGUUCUGUCAAGAGCAUGGCCGGGUAGCUAAGUGCGGCACCGAUAAGCGCUGAAAGCAUCUAAGCGCCAAGCGGUUCUCAAGACCAGUUUUCCCUGAAAGACCGUGGAAGACCACCACGUUGAUAGGCUGGGGGUAGAAGUGCAGUAAUGCAUGUAGCUCACCAGUACUAAUCGUCUGUUUGGCUUGAUU